RNAcentral lists this ribosomal RNA (755 nucleotides) under Salmonella enterica subsp. enterica. RNAcentral describes it as "bacterial LSU rRNA". It matches the Rfam family "Bacterial large subunit ribosomal RNA", at positions 1 to 687 of the family's 2925-position model. The record is from RNAcentral. Lineage: Bacteria; Pseudomonadati; Pseudomonadota; Gammaproteobacteria; Enterobacterales; Enterobacteriaceae.
GGGUUGUGAGGUUAAGCGACUAAGCGUACACGGUGGAUGCCCUGGCAGUCAGAGGCGAUGAAGGACGUGCUAAUCUGCGAUAAGCGCCGGUAAGGUGAUAUGAACCGUUAUAACCGGCGAUUUCCGAAUGGGGAAACCCAGUGUGACUCGUCACACUAUCAUUAACUGAAUCCAUAGGUUAAUGAGGCGAACCGGGGGAACUGAAACAUCUAAGUACCCCGAGGAAAAGAAAUCAACCGAGAUUCCCCCAGUAGCGGCGAGCGAACGGGGAGGAGCCCAGAGCCUGAAUCAGCAUGUGUGUUAGUGGAAGCGUCUGGAAAGGCGCGCGAUACAGGGUGACAGCCCCGUACACAAAAGCGCAUGUGCUGUGAGCUCGAUGAGUAGGGCGGGACACGUGGUAUCCUGUCUGAAUAUGGGGGGACCAUCCUCCAAGGCUAAAUACUCCUGACUGACCGAUAGUGAACCAGUACCGUGAGGGAAAGGCGAAAAGAACCCCGGCGAGGGGAGUGAAAAAGAACCUGAAACCGUGUACGUACAAGCAGUGGGAGCCCCACCACCAAAGCAUUCUCUGGUGUUGAAGGCCCUGCAAAGCAGCAUCGCGGUGGCGGAGCGUCGUUUGCGACGCCCAACACACAAAACAAGCGGUGAGUGCUUUGGGGUGGGGUGACUGCGUACCUUUUGUAUAAUGGGUCAGCGACUUAUAUUCUGUAGCAAGGUUAACCGAAUAGGGGAGCCGGAGGGAAACCGAGUCUUAA